GCAGACACAUUCCAGCCAAUCAGCAGCAGACCCUCCCUCCCAGACCCUCCCACCAGCAUCCAUGGACAGCAUCCAUUUUACAUUCAUUGUGAAGCUUCAUUCUUAGUGAGCUGUCCAGGAGGUGGGAGGGUCUGGGAGGGAGGGUCUGCUGCUGAUUGACUGGAAUGUGUCUG
This is a non-coding RNA of Pelobates cultripes (western spadefoot toad), 173 nucleotides long. Lineage: Eukaryota; Metazoa; Chordata; Amphibia; Anura; Pelobatidae. The record is from the annotation of a GenBank genome assembly.